RNAcentral lists this ribosomal RNA (396 nucleotides) under uncultured bacterium. RNAcentral's name for it is "partial 16S ribosomal RNA". It matches the Rfam family "Bacterial small subunit ribosomal RNA", at positions 338 to 732 of the family's 1533-position model. The record is from RNAcentral.
CCUACGGGGGGCAGCAGUGAGGAAUAUUGGUCAAUGGCCGAGAGGCUGAACCAGCCAAGUCGCGUGAGGGAAGAAUGUCCUAUGGAUUGUAAACCUCUUUUGUCAGGGAGCAAAGUCACCCACGUGUGGGUGUUGGAGAGUACCUGAAGAAAAAGCAUCGGCUAACUCCGUGCCAGCAGCGGCGGUAAUACGGAGGAUGCGAGCGUUAUCCGGUUUUAUUGGGUUUAAAGGGGGCGUAGGGGGGAGCGUAAGUCAGCGGUAAAAUUGGGGUGCUCAACGCCGUAGAGCCGUUGAAACUGGGGGUCUUGAGUGAGCGAGAGGUAUGCGGAAUGCGUGGUGUAGCGGUGAAAUGCAUAGAUAUCACGCAGAACCCCGAUUGCGAAGGCAGCAUACCGG